GUUGUGGUGCGCGCCGAGUGACGUCAUCCAGGGCGACGGAAUCUGAAGCCACGCUACUGCAAUGUGCUGGGCUCUGUGCGAGAGAAGAGCCUAGUAUGCAGUUGUUUGUAAGUGAGACAGGAGGAAAAACGGCUUUAAAAAGAAUCCAGUCGCUUGGAGAGAGUGCACGUGCCCUGGCUUUGAGGACGACGCCUUGUGGAUUACCUGCCCACAGAGCAUAACAAAGGCAAUGAAAACAAAGGAUCAAGACAAAAAGUCCUGAAGAAGAACUGAAGAGACAACAGAAGAAGACGACACAUACUGUUGUUUAAACGUAGAAAGGAAUGGGGAGGAGUGCUAUACGACCUGACCAUGGAGUGGUGAGUGUAUGGGAUUUUAGGCAUCUUAUGAAGGUCUACAUAGUAAAGAAUAUAAAGGGGAAAACAGGGUCACCAGAGGACCCUACAUGACAAAACAGGCCAUGAUUUGAUACUUUGAUGAUCCCACUUAACUGCACAGGAGCCAGUUUUCUGGGUGAGUCCAUGGGUGCCGACUGACUUUUGUAUUCUCAGUGCUGCAGUAUAAAUGGUACCGUGAUGUUGCCUGUUGGACACCUCCUUAAUAAUAAAACAAAUAUGCUGUCGACCUGCUUCCCUCCUGCCUGCUCUUUUAUUUCUCUCGCUAUUCUCACCCUGUCAAUGUCUUAGUAAUUAACCCCUUUCCUCCUGAGCUCAAACACUUUGCUUCUUUGCUAU
Molecule: long non-coding RNA, 734 nt
Organism: Erpetoichthys calabaricus (reedfish)
Lineage: Eukaryota; Metazoa; Chordata; Cladistia; Polypteriformes; Polypteridae
Exons: 3
Source: RefSeq, a predicted model, not a curated record